This is a long non-coding RNA of Photinus pyralis (common eastern firefly), 806 nucleotides long. RefSeq lists it as uncharacterized. Lineage: Eukaryota; Metazoa; Arthropoda; Insecta; Coleoptera; Lampyridae. The transcript has 3 exons. The record is from RefSeq and is a predicted model, not a curated record.
AUCUUUUUUAAUGGCUGUAUUACAUUUUUGAGCUCAUCAUGAGAUAAAGUUAACGUGGAACUUUUGAGUCAGCUUAUUUUGGAGUCGAGUGGGAUCUACAGUUAGUACUAAGAAAGACACUAACCAGUAAAAAAUUUAGGCAUCGCCAUUUUGAAGGUAAAUCCCCGAAAACGUUUUUUAAAUUCGGAAACAUGUUUACAACACUACAAAAGAUGUACUUAACUGGCCAGAUUAGUAGCGUCGUAAAUAAAUCGUGGAAAACUUUAAUUAACAUAUAAGAGUGGCGAAAUUAUAACUAAAACUGUAAACAUUUCAACAUCAAAACUUUGUUCAAUCGGUCCCAUUAUUGGAGGCGUUAUUAUAAUUGUAAAUUUUGUGCCAAGUGGUUACUCAGGAUUUCUAAGAAUAAUAAACAGUAACAAAGUUCAUCAAUCAUAGUUGUACGCAGAUCACAGCCUUGGAAGUAAAUUUCCUCUUACAAGCAAGAAUAACCACCGAAAUCGAACCCGCUGUAUUUCAAACUGCAUUUUCCUGAAAGAAGACAUCUGAUAACGUCUCGAUUCCACUAUCCAGCUGUACUGAGAUGCUAAAAACAACUUAAAAUCGUAGUCAAGACCAACAGUACCAGUACUUACCAUGUGGAGGCUUUUGGUUCUGUUACCCCUUUUACUUCCUACAGCCUCUGCAACGAAGCAGCUACCAGAACUGUUUAUGACAACAUUUACCACCCUACUCCAGCGCCAUUAUGACGACUGUGUCCACGAGAUCGGUAUAGGUCCUGAGGUACCGUCAAAAAUCUUUGCGGA